RNAcentral lists this ribosomal RNA (1221 nucleotides) under Dendropoma corrodens (ringed wormsnail). RNAcentral's name for it is "16S ribosomal RNA". It matches the Rfam family "Bacterial large subunit ribosomal RNA", at positions 571 to 2597 of the family's 2925-position model. Lineage: Eukaryota; Metazoa; Mollusca; Gastropoda; Littorinimorpha; Vermetidae. The record is from RNAcentral.
GGAUGGUAUUCUAGCAGUAUUUAGUGCUUUCUGGGGCCGUAGUUGAUUGUUGGUAAUGUUCAAUGAAAAAAAUUUGAUAAUAGACUAGUACUGUGAGGGAAUAGUAAAUAUGUAUAGUGAUAAGUAGUGGUAAAAACAUGUACCUUUUGCAUCAUGGCCUGGUAAGAUAGAAGAAUCAUAUAGAUAUUUCUCGAAGCCUUACGAGCGUCCUUUUUGUUACAUUUUAGGGUAAAAUCUUGCUAAUGUUGCACCAUUAGGGGAAAAUGAAAAGGAAGUGUUGAAAUUGCAUUCGUGUAGGGGGAUAGCUAGUUUCUUCAUAAAUACAUGUUAGUGUAUCGGCUAUAUUUAUAACCGUGCCUUUAGUACUAUACCAAUAUGGUUAGGGGCUAGGUCAUUAUGUUUCCGUCAGACAUUAGAGAAUAAGCUCUGAUGUUAGCAGGUUUUGUUACAAACAAUUAUUUAAGAGUGGGGGGGCCUAAUAGUUGCUAACUUAUAGUCCGUUUGUUAUAAAAGACUCUUAUUGGGUAGAAAUUGAAAGAUAUCUUUAAGCAUCUAUUUAUUAAUGAAGGUACAGACAAAAACGGCAAGGUCUGGAAAUAAUGCUAGGAUGAGUAUUGUACGUCGGUGUGUGUCUAUAAACCCAAACUGCGAGUAGGUGUUUAAUCACAAUAAAUAAUAGGAUAAAAACUUUAGGAAAGGAAUUCGGCAAACUAUACCUCCGCCUGUAUAUCAAAAACAUGGCUCUUUGUCAUAACUAUAAAGAGUCUAACCUGCUCAAUGAUUUUAAUUAAAUGGCCGCGGUACCCUGACCGUGCAAAGGUAGCAUAAUCACUUGCCUUUUAAUUGGAGGCUGGAAUGAAUGGUUGGACGGGAGGUUGGCUGUCUCUUCUAAAGUACGAGAAUUCAAUCUAUAGGUUCAAAAGCCUAUAUUAUAUUAAAAGACGAGAAGACCCUAGCGAGCUUUAUUCUAUUUGUGGAAUCAUUUUUCCAUGGAAGAAUUUGGUUGGGGCGACUGAGGAAAAAAGCAUCCUUGAAUUAAAAUUAAAUUAUGGUUACAGAUCCAACUAAUGUUGAGUGACAGCCAAGCUACCGUAGGGAUAACAGCGUAAUCUUUUUUGAGAGUUCUAAUCGAAAAAAGGGUUUGCGACCUCGAUGUUGGACUAGGGUAUCCUGAGGGUGAAGAAGCUUUUGAGGGUUGGUCUGUUCGACCACUAAAAUCCU